GCCAGACUCCUACGGGAGGCAGCAGUGGGGAAUAUUGCACAAUGGGGGAAACCCUGAUGCAGCGACGCCGCGUGAGUGAAGAAGUAUUUCGGUAUGUAAAGCUCUAUCAGCAGGGAAGAAGAAAGACGGUACCUGACUAAGAAGCCCCGGCUAACUACGUGCCAGCAGCCGCGGUAAUACGUAGGGGGCAAGCGUUAUCCGGAUUUACUGGGUGUAAAGGGAGCGUAGACGGCCGUGCAAGUCUGAAGUGAAGGCCCAGGGCUCAACCCUGGGACUGCUUUGGAAACUGUGGAGCUAGAGUGCUGGAGAGGUAAGUGGAAUUCCUAGUGUAGCGGUGAAAUGCGUAGAUAUUAGGAGGAACACCAGUGGCGAAGGCGGCUUACUGGACAGUAACUGACGUUGAGGCUCGAAAGCGUGGGGAGCAAACAGGAUUAGAUACCCCAGUAU
This 447-nucleotide ribosomal RNA is filed under the name uncultured bacterium. RNAcentral's name for it is "bacterial SSU rRNA". It matches the Rfam family "Bacterial small subunit ribosomal RNA", at positions 330 to 793 of the family's 1533-position model. The record is from RNAcentral.